CUUUUGAGUUAGAGUUAAAGUCAGCUGAUAAUCGUGUCCUCUAGGAGCAGCUACUACAGAAGAAUGUGGAAAUCAACGAUUUACAAGAAAAAGUUUUUCGCGUUGAGCAACAACU
Long non-coding RNA from Zea mays, 115 nucleotides. RefSeq lists it as uncharacterized. The transcript is spliced from 3 exons. NCBI's taxonomy places the organism in Eukaryota, Viridiplantae, Streptophyta, Magnoliopsida, Poales, Poaceae. The record is from RefSeq and is a predicted model, not a curated record.